RNAcentral lists this ribosomal RNA (492 nucleotides) under uncultured bacterium. Its description in RNAcentral is "partial 16S ribosomal RNA". It matches the Rfam family "Bacterial small subunit ribosomal RNA", at positions 28 to 507 of the family's 1533-position model. The record is from RNAcentral.
GAUGAACGCUAGCUACAGGCUUAACACAUGCAAGUCGAGGGGAAACGGCAUUAAGUGCUUGCACUUUUUGGACGUCGACCGGCGCACGGGUGAGUAACGCGUAUCCAACCUUCCCAUGACUAAGGGAUAACCUGCCGAAAGGCAGACUAAUACCUUAUGGUCUUCACUGACGGCAUCAGAUGUGAAGUAAAGAUUUAUCGGUUAUGGAUGGGGAUGCGUCUGAUUAGCUUGUUGGCGGGGUAACGGCCCACCAAGGCAACGAUCAGUAGGGGUUCUGAGAGGAAGGUCCCCCACAUUGGAACUGAGACACGGUCCAAACUCCUACGGGAGGCAGCAGUGAGGAAUAUUGGUCAAUGGGCGAGAGCCUGAACCAGCCAAGUAGCGUGCAGGAUGACGGCCCUAUGGGUUGUAAACUGCUUUUGUAUGGGGAUAAAGUCAAUCACGUGUGAUUGUUUGCAGGUACCAUACGAACAAGGACCGGCUAAGUCCGUG